Molecule: ribosomal RNA, 274 nt
Filed under: uncultured bacterium
Lineage: Bacteria
Description: partial 16S ribosomal RNA
Rfam family: Bacterial small subunit ribosomal RNA
Source: RNAcentral
AUACGGAGGGUGCAAGCGUUAUUCGGAAUCACUGGGCGUAAAGGACGCGUAGGCGGGUUGGCAAGUCAGAUGUGAAAUCCUACAGCUUAACUGUAGAACUGCAUUUGAAACUGCUAACCUAGAGUAUGGGAGGGGGAGAUGGAAUUAGUGGUGUAGGGGUAAAAUCCGUAGAUAUCACUAGGAAUACCGAAAGCGAAGGCGAUCUCCUGGAACAUAACUGACGCUAAGGCGUGAAAGCGUGGGGAGCAAACAGGAUUAGAAACACCAGUAGUCC